CUAUUAUAAAGACAAUUAUUUUUGAUAUGAUAUUUGUAUAAAGAAAAUUGUGGAACUAUAGCAUCUUAAAAAAAGCAAAGAAAGGAAUAAUGAAUUAUCCAGUCUUGUUUAGUUUAUGUUUGGUUUUUUUUGCUGCACAUGGUAUCCUAGUGAAUGACCAAAAUGAAGAAAAUGGUGUCGCAGCUGAUAACCAAAAUGAAAUAUAAGUCAUUAACAUUUUAUAGUCGGCAGAAACCAAGAAAAAACCAAGAAAAGUCAAUAAUAAGGAAAUAAUAACAGGUAUUA
Molecule: long non-coding RNA, 285 nt
Organism: Daktulosphaira vitifoliae (grape phylloxera)
Lineage: Eukaryota; Metazoa; Arthropoda; Insecta; Hemiptera; Phylloxeridae
Exons: 5
Source: RefSeq, a predicted model, not a curated record